This 253-nucleotide ribosomal RNA is filed under the name uncultured bacterium. Its description in RNAcentral is "partial 16S ribosomal RNA". It matches the Rfam family "Bacterial small subunit ribosomal RNA", at positions 524 to 776 of the family's 1533-position model. The record is from RNAcentral.
UACGAAGGGGGCUAGCGUUGUUCGGAAUUACUGGGCGUAAAGCGCACGUAGGCGGAAUGUUUAGUCAGGGGUGAAAUCCCGGGGCUCAACCCCGGAACUGCCUUUGAUACUGGCAUUCUCGAGUCCGGAAGAGGUGAGUGGAAUUCCGAGUGUAGAGGUGAAAUUCGUAGAUAUUCGGAGGAACACCAGUGGCGAAGGCGGGUCUCUGGACAGUUCCUGACGCUGAGGCACGAAGGUCAGGGGAGCAAACGGG